This 322-nucleotide ribosomal RNA is filed under the name uncultured eukaryote. RNAcentral's name for it is "partial 18S ribosomal RNA". It matches the Rfam family "Eukaryotic small subunit ribosomal RNA", at positions 1470 to 1796 of the family's 1831-position model. The record is from RNAcentral.
CCCUUAGAUGUUCUGGGCCGCACGCGUGCUACACUGAACGGUUCAAUGGGUAAGGUAGUGCGAAAGCAUGACCUAAUCUCGAAAUCCGUUCGUGCUGGGGAUAGAAGCUUGCAAUUAUCCUUCUUGAACGAGGAAUACCUUGUAAGCGUGAGUCAUCAUCUCACGCUGAAUGCGUCCCUGCCCUUUGUACACACCGCCCGUCGCUCCUACCGAUUGAGUGUUCCGGUGAGGCUUCGGGAGAACUGGGUGGAUUGUGUUUCACAAACUGCUCGGUUUGAACUUAGUCAAACCUUAUCACUUAGAGGAAGGAGAAGUCGUAACA